Molecule: long non-coding RNA, 639 nt
Organism: Rosa rugosa (rugosa rose)
Lineage: Eukaryota; Viridiplantae; Streptophyta; Magnoliopsida; Rosales; Rosaceae
Exons: 4
Source: RefSeq, a predicted model, not a curated record
CAUUCUAGAAGGAUCGCAUCUGGAGUGAUCGGAUUCACGUUCGUCGGAGCUCGCCGGAUUCUGGAAAUUUUCCACCACCACCGAAGCUUUUGAUAGAAGGAAUCGAAGCCUGAAAUUGAAGUUUUGACGUCGAAAUCAAGCCUUGCCGGAUUCUGCAAAAUUCUGGAAUUUUUCCGACCACCGAAGCUUUCGAUCGGUAUAUCUCGAGCUACAGACCAUAUUUUUCUGUGAUUCUUGAACCAGUGAGUUCUUCUUGAGUUUCUUAACAACUCUUCAGAAGGAAUCGAAGCCUUAAAUUGACGUUUUUACGUCGAAUUGGAGCUCGCCGUUUUCUGCAGUUUCUCGCCGGUUUCUGGAAAAUUCCGGCCACCUUCAUACUGUUCAAGGUGAUCGACGGUUUGAUUUGGCGGACGAUUCGUGAAAUUGUAUUUUGAGCUGUUAAGAAGACGCAGCGGGAAUUUAGAGCGGGUAAUCCUACAGGUCAGGUGAACCAGGACGGUGAUCGGGCUGCUUAGAGUAGUGUUAUGUGAAUUACAGCAUUAUAUUGUGAGGUUUGUUAUGCUCAUUUAGAGCUUUACGAUUUUACUUUGUAAGAGUGAAUUGUAAUAAUUAACUCGAGGUUUUCGAGUUUUGUGUUGA